CAGGCCUAACACAUGCAAGUCGAACGGAAAGGCCCUGCUUGCAGGGUACUCGAGUGGCGAACGGGUGAGUAACACGUGGGUGAUCUGCCCUGCACUUCGGGAUAAGCUUGGGAAACUGGGUCUAAUACCGGAUAGGAGCCAUCUUUAGUGUGGUGGUUGGAAAGUUUUUUCGGUGUAGGAUGAGCUCGCGGCCUAUCAGCUUGUUGGUGGGGUAAUGGCCUACCAAGGCGGCGACGGGUAGCCGGCCUGAGAGGGUGUACGGCCACAUUGGGACUGAGAUACGGCCCAGACUCCUACGGGAGGCAGCAGUGGGGAAUAUUGCACAAUGGGCGCAAGCCUGAUGCAGCGACGCCGCGUGGGGGAUGAAGGCCUUCGGGUUGUAAACUCCUUUCGCUAGGGACGAAGCUUUUUGUGACGGUACCUAGAUAAGAAGCACCGGCUAACUACGUGCCAGCAGCCGCGGUAAUACGUAGGGUGCGAGCGUUGUCCGGAAUUACUGGGCGUAAAGGGCUCGUAGGUGGUUUGUCGCGUCGUCUGUGAAAUUCUGGGGCUUAACUCCGGGCGUGCAGGCGAUACGGGCAUAACUUGAGUGCUGUAGGGGUAACUGGAAUUCCUGGUGUAGCGGUGAAAUGCGCAGAUAUCAGGAGGAACACCGAUGGCGAAGGCAGGUUACUGGGCAGUUACUGACGCUGAGGAGCGAAAGCAUGGGUAGCGAACAGGAUUAGAUACCCUGGUAGUCCAUGCCGUAAACGGUGGGCGCUAGGUGUGAGGGUCUUUCUACGACUUUCGUGCCGUAGCUA
This 800-nucleotide ribosomal RNA is filed under the name uncultured bacterium. RNAcentral describes it as "bacterial SSU rRNA". It matches the Rfam family "Bacterial small subunit ribosomal RNA", at positions 43 to 854 of the family's 1533-position model. The record is from RNAcentral.